UUUGCUGCCAGCCUUCCAAGAACAAAUUGAUGGAGGGGACGCUUUGGCCAUUAAUCAUUUGCUUCUGCAAUCGCGAACGAUUUCGAGGACGGAAGCCCUGCUAUCACGUUAGAAAUUGAUUCCACUGCAUUUCAAGUUCCUCCAUUUUGUUCUUCCAGAAUAACCAGUCAUUUCUAGAGAUUUAUGAAAUCUAGGCGUAACCUAAUUAAACGAUUGGACUACUUGGAUCUUAAGCUGAAUUGAAUCGCGUGUCUGUAACGAGUUCUGGACAUAAGAUAGCUUGAGCUUCAAUUUGAAAAAGAGUACUCAUGUCUCCAGCACAAUUUGAUUUGUGAACUGUUAUGAUUCUGUGAGAUGAGUAGAAUGAGUUUCCUUCGGUU
This is a long non-coding RNA of Momordica charantia (bitter melon), 380 nucleotides long. RefSeq lists it as uncharacterized. NCBI's taxonomy places the organism in Eukaryota, Viridiplantae, Streptophyta, Magnoliopsida, Cucurbitales, Cucurbitaceae. The record is from RefSeq and is a predicted model, not a curated record.